This 114-nucleotide ribosomal RNA is filed under the name Zingiber officinale. The record is from RNAcentral. Lineage: Eukaryota; Viridiplantae; Streptophyta; Magnoliopsida; Zingiberales; Zingiberaceae.
GCGAUCAUACCAGCACUAAUGCACCGGAUCCCAUCAGAACUCAGAAGUUAAGCGUGCUUGGGCGAGAGCAGUACUAGGAUGGGUGACCCCCUGGGAAGUCCUCGUGUUGCACCU